AUGGCAUGGCAGGACCCAGUGGCCAUCUUCGGCGCCUUCAUGGACUUCGUCAGCGCCGACCUCUGCUUCAUCAUCUACGGCCACGACCCCUUUGCCGUCGGCAUCAUCUGGCACCUUGGAGUGCAAAUUAAAUGUGUUCAUGGAGUGGGGUGUAAUUGUGAUUUGUGCAAUGGGUUUAGAGUGGAAGGGGCUGUCAUUCUUGUUUAG
RNAcentral lists this ribosomal RNA (207 nucleotides) under Triticum aestivum (bread wheat). Its description in RNAcentral is "partial small subunit ribosomal RNA". Lineage: Eukaryota; Viridiplantae; Streptophyta; Magnoliopsida; Poales; Poaceae. The record is from RNAcentral.